This 81-nucleotide transfer RNA is filed under the name Bos taurus (domestic cattle). It matches the Rfam family "tRNA". From Rfam's summary of the family: Transfer RNA (tRNA) molecules are approximately 80 nucleotides in length. Their secondary structure includes four short double-helical elements and three loops (D, anti-codon, and T loops). The record is from Rfam by way of RNAcentral. RNAcentral also lists the same sequence under 1 other name. Lineage: Eukaryota; Metazoa; Chordata; Mammalia; Artiodactyla; Bovidae.
UCCCUGAUGGCUCAUUAGGUAAAGAACCUGCCUGUAAUGCAGGAGACACAGAAGAUUCGGGUUCAAUUCCCGAGUUGGGAA